Molecule: long non-coding RNA, 2544 nt
Organism: Drosophila miranda
Lineage: Eukaryota; Metazoa; Arthropoda; Insecta; Diptera; Drosophilidae
Exons: 5
Source: RefSeq, a predicted model, not a curated record
AUUUUACUUGUGCGCCGUUCGCUUGUUGACUGCUGCUGCCUGCAGAUAUAUCCAGAGUAUAUUGAACAUAAGUUUUAUUUUCUUUUCCACCACAGAGAGAGCGCGCGCGCGGCUUUUGCUGUUUAUUCUGCUUUUAAUUAAUGCAAAAUGUAUACAAAAUAGCCGCGAAUAGGCGCAGCGCCCUGCCACAGCAACAGCAACAUCAACAUGUGAGUGAGGUCGCAAGGUGUGCGUGUGAGUGAGAAGGAGGAUGGAACGAGGAGAAUCCUCAACAAAAAAGAAGCACCAAAAAGAGCCAAAGCUGAGGAGAACUACUCUGAUAACUCACCUGCAACGAGAGAGAGAGAGAGAAAGGAAGACAUAGAGUGAGACGGAAUGAUGAUUAGCAGCAAAUGCAGCGUAAAUGCAAUUCGAAUGAUAAAUCAACGAUCUAAAAAUACAGCCAGCAACAACAAAAACAGCGUCAGCGGCCAAAUAAGGCAAACAAUUGCAAAUAUCUGCAUGUGGAUGGCUGCCUGCCCCCGAUGCCCGCAGUCGACUCUGAUGUCGCAGUAGACGACGACGACGCACAGCAAAGCUAAAAAUAAUUCACGCUGUUCGCUUAGAAAAUCCAAAAUUAGCCGCGGCUGAGUUGCACAGUGGUCGGAGUUCACAUCAAAAGCAGAGACAAAUCCAACCAGAGUCGAGAGCAUUGCAAAACAGAUAAAGGAUUUUCCUUUUUUCGCGCACCCACUGUAGCUGGCGUCACCGUUGAGCGUGGACAGAGCCGUAAGCAGCGACGCCAACGUCAACGCCGAUGCCGAGCGACAGCAGGUUGGCAGAAAGUCUGCCACUGAUAACGGGAAAUGGCAUGCCAUGCCAGCAACAGCAGCCACAAUAAGGAGAGCCUCACCUCACUCUCGUGCCGGCCGUGUGUGUCUUUCUUCAAGCUCUCUCACGCCAAAAUAAACAAAACAAAUGUAAAGUGCGCCUCCGCCUCCGCCUCGCCCUCUGGAAAUGCUUGGUACAGCCACCAGACCGCCCAGCCACCCCACCACACACCCCCCCUCGACCCACAACCUAGGGCAAGCCAUGAAAAUAAAUAUAUGUGGGCACAACAAAAAUGAAAAUUGUACGCGAAAUGUGCCGCAAAUGGCAGCAGAUUUGCCAUUAAAAUUUACAAAGGUUCUCGCUCUCAUCGUUAAGGCAGAGAGAGAGAGAGAGAGAGAAAGAGCGCGAACGCGUCGGGGCACAAGGUAUAUAAGGCCGAUGGUAGAGCAGUGCAACAGAGAGUGAGGAAAUGUUUUAAUGUUCGAGCGAGCGAGAGUGGAGAUUAAGCCUGGGACCUUACCUUUGCUUCAAUAUACUUUUGAGGGGGGAGGCUAGGAUAUGCAGACAGACCCAACUCCAGAGAGUGUGAGAGAGAGAGUGGGAGGCGGAGUAGACGAAAGAAAAAGCAAAUCAAAACAACAGAAAGAAAACAAUCAGAAAUGCAGGCAAAACAAAAAAAAGCUCUGCCUAACGGACUGACUAAGUGACUCGUUCUCUCUCCCCCUCUCACUCUCUCAGUCUAUGUGGCCUGUUAAAUAACAGCUGAAAAUUAACAGUGAGUGUUUUUGGAACAAGCAAUUAAAGCUGUAAUCAAGCAAUUAGAAGUACAAUUACCAAAAAGUUGUAGCAAAUUGUGUGUGCGAAAAGAAAAGAUGUGGAACGAAGCAUUUUUAGGGAGAACUGCAGAGACGGAUGGAUGUACAUACAUGCAAGGGCAAUACGAACCACGCUCGACGUCUCUUCAUAAAUCUACUGCCACAUUACCCAUACGCAGCGUGUUGCAGCUGAAAACCGAACAUUCCUGCGGCCACGGAUCUGUUGUCAAGCGGCACUAAAAGUGUCGCAUAUGUUUUGUAAAUUAAUUAAUAUAUCUUACACCCCAUAAAGUGCAACACAACAAAAAGUGCCAGAUAAAUCAUUAACAGUGACGGAAAAAAUUUAAAUUUUUUCAUGCAAAUAAUUUACAAACAUUGACAGUAUAUUAUCAUCUCUAUUUUUUUCAUUUUUCAAGUGCUGCAAGAAAAAUAUUCAUAUCAUUAUGGCUAAAUGACAGUGGGCCAGUGAUGCCGACAACACCGAUUAGCCAAAAGUUUUGGCCAAAACAUGACAGCCUCCAAAAUGCGGAAGAAGAGUAGUACGGGGUAGAAAUUGGAGAAAGGGACGGCAAAUGCAAGCUAUAAUUAACUUAAAAUAUAGCAAAUAUUGACCACUAAGCUUUCCAAGCUAUUAAAUGUUAAAACAUUUCCUGUUUUUCAUUUCCUGGCUUCACGUUACCAAAUUCCGUGCUAAUAAAAGUUCAAAAAUCUAUCAAUUGCCGGGAUUGGCUUUAUUUGGGUAGUUUUAAAUGUUUGAGAGACUUUUAGGCACAACUGUUAUCAAGAAUCAUCUUUCUUAUGGGAGUUAUUGGCAAAGGAAAACAUGAGUAGAUAAAUAAAAUAAAAAAUAGUGAGCUGUUGCUUAUUUUAAAAGGGGUUUCAGAUCAAAGUUUGUGAAAUUAUAUGUCCAUUGGGUAAA